Molecule: unclassified non-coding RNA, 483 nt
Filed under: Hevea brasiliensis (rubber tree)
Lineage: Eukaryota; Viridiplantae; Streptophyta; Magnoliopsida; Malpighiales; Euphorbiaceae
Source: RNAcentral
GCUACUGCAACUAGAGGGGGUAGGGAUGAUGCUCUUAGGAGCUUUGAGUUACUAACUAUUGGCACCGGAAGAAGGAAAUGAGGCUAUAUAAUGUCUAAUAUCUACCCCCAAGUUGAACAGCAAGUUGAGCAGCUAUCUUCAAGGACUUAUCAACAAGCAUGCACUGAUUCUUGCAAUUUAACAAACUUGCUAAACUUUCAAGAGAUAGAGGGGUGUUUCUGUUUUGUAUAUUUGAGAAUACCUCUCUAAUGUGAUGUUGUAGACCGGGAUCUCUCUCGAAAAAUAAAAAAUAUUUCACAUCUGGCCAUUGCUCCCCUGAUGUGCAUGGCUGCUAUGCUUGCGAACGGGGAGGAUGUUAAUGGCGAAAGUAAAUAGCUCAUGGUUAUGCAGUGUAGCUCCGAUUACUUAAGGGGCUACCUCAGUACUUCCUCUUAGUUGUGUGGUUCUUGUGCCCAGAAUUGUUAUCAUAUACUUUUAUGUUAU